RNAcentral lists this microRNA (21 nucleotides) under Monodelphis domestica (gray short-tailed opossum). Its description in RNAcentral is "mdo-miR-7371g-5p". The record is from miRBase by way of RNAcentral. Lineage: Eukaryota; Metazoa; Chordata; Mammalia; Didelphimorphia; Didelphidae.
CCUUGUAUCAGGUGCUCUAUU